Molecule: ribosomal RNA, 447 nt
Filed under: uncultured bacterium
Lineage: Bacteria
Description: bacterial SSU rRNA
Rfam family: Bacterial small subunit ribosomal RNA
Source: RNAcentral
CCAGACUCCUACGGGAGGCAGCAGUGGGGGAUAUUGCACAAUGGGGGGAAACCCUGAUGCAGCGACGCCGCGUGGGUGAAGAAGUAUUUCGGUAUGUAAAGCCCUAUCAGCAGGGAAGAAAGAAGACGGUACCUGACUAAGAAGCCCCGGCUAACUACGUGCCAGCAGCCGCGGUAAUACGUAGGGGGCGAGCGUUAUCCGGAUUCACUGGGUGUAAAGGGAGCGUAGACGGCCGUGCAAGCCAGGAGUGAAAGCCCGGGGCCCAACCCCGGGACUGCUCUUGGAACUGUGCGGCUAGAGUGCGGGAGGGGCAGGCGGAAUUCCUGGUGUAGCGGUGAAAUGCGUAGAUAUCAGGAGGAACACCGGCGGCGAAGGCGGCCUGCUGGACCGCGACUGGCGUUGAGGCUCGAAAGCGUGGGGAGCGAACAGGAUUAGAUACCCUAGUAU